This 477-nucleotide ribosomal RNA is filed under the name uncultured bacterium. RNAcentral describes it as "partial 16S ribosomal RNA". It matches the Rfam family "Bacterial small subunit ribosomal RNA", at positions 28 to 507 of the family's 1533-position model. The record is from RNAcentral.
GAUGAACGCUGGCGGCGUGCCUAACACAUGCCAGUCGAACGAAGCACCUUACCUGAUUCUUCGGAUGAAAGUUUGGUGACUGAGUGGCGGACGGGUGAGUAACGCGUGGGUAACCUGCCCUGUACAGGGGGAUAACAGCUGGAAACGGCUGCUAAUACCGCAUAGGCGCACGAGGAGACAUCUCCUUGUGUGAAAAACUCCGGUGGUACAGGAUGGGCCCGCGUCUGAUUAGCUGGUUGGCAGGGUAACGGACUACCAAGGCAACGAUCAGUAGCCGGUCUGAGAGGAUGAACGGCCACAUUGGAACUGAGACACGGUCCAAACUCCUACGGGAGGCAGCAGUGGGGAAUAUUGCACAAUGGGGGAAACCCUGAUGCAGCAACGCCGCGUGAGUGAAGAAGUAUUUCGGUAUGUAAAGCUCUAUCAGCAGGGAAGAUAAUGACGGUACCUGACGAAGAAGCUCCGGCUAAAUACGUG